UACGUAGGGGGCGAGCGUUGUCCGGAAUUAUUGGGCGUAAAGAGCGUGUAGGCGGCUCGGUAAGUCCGCUGUGAAAGUCCAGGGCUCAACCCUGGAAGGCCGGUGGAAACUGCCGGGCUAGAGUCCGGAAGAGGCGAGUGGAAUUCCCGGUGUAGCGGUGAAAUGCGCAGAUAUCAGGAGGAACACCAAUGGCGAAGGCAGCUUGCUGGGACGGUACUGACGCUGAGACGCGAAAGCGUGGGGAGCGAACAGG
This 253-nucleotide ribosomal RNA is filed under the name uncultured bacterium. RNAcentral describes it as "partial 16S ribosomal RNA". It matches the Rfam family "Bacterial small subunit ribosomal RNA", at positions 524 to 776 of the family's 1533-position model. The record is from RNAcentral.